AUACCGUGAAACUGCGAAUGGCUCAUUAAAUCAGUUAUCGUUUAUUUGAUAGUACCUUACUACUUGGAUAACCGUGGUAAUUCUAGAGCUAAUACAUGCUAAAAACCCCGACUCCGGAAGGGGUGUAUUUAUUAGAUAAAAAGCCAAUGCCCUUUGGGGCUCUUUGGUGAUUCAUAGUAACUUAACGGAUCGCAUGGCCUUGCGCCGGCGACGGUUCAUUCAAAUUUCUGCCCUAUCAACUUUCGAUGGUAAGGUAUUGGCUUACCAUGGUUUCAACGGGUAACGGGGAAUUAGGGUUCGAUUCCGGAGAGGGAGCCUGAGAAACGGCUACCACAUCCAAGGAAGGCAGCAGGCGCGCAAAUUACCCAAUCCCGACACGGGGAGGUAGUGACAAUAAAUACUGAUACAGGGCUCUUUUGGGUCUUGUAAUCGGAAUGAGUACAAUUUAAACCCCUUAACGAGGAACAAUUGGAGGGCAAGUCUGGUGCCAGCAGCCGCGGUAAUUCCAGCUCCAAUAGCGUAUAUUAAAGUUGUUGCAGUUAAAAAGCUCGUAGUUGAACCUUGGGCCUGGCUGGCUGGUCCGCCUCACCGCGUGUACUGGUCCGGCCGGGCCUUUCCUUCUGGAGAGCCCCAUGCCCUUCACUGGGUGUGUGGGGGAACCAGGACUUUUACUGUGAAAAAAUUAGAGUGUUCAAAGCAGGCCUUUGCUCGAAUACGUUAGCAUGGAAUAAUAGAAUAGGACGUGCGGUCCUAUUUUGUUGGUUUCUAGGACCGCCGUAAUGAUUAAUAGGGAUAGUCGGGGGCAUCAGUAUUCAAUUGUCAGAGGUGAAAUUCUUGGAUUUAUUGAAGACUAACUACUGCGAAAGCAUUUGCCAAGGAUGUUUUCAUUAAUCAGUGAACGAAAGUUAGGGGAUCGAAGACGAUCAGAUACCGUCGUAGUCUUAACCGUAAACUAUGCCGACUAGGGAUCGGGCGAUGUUUCUAUUUUGACUCGCUCGGCACCUUACGAGAAAUCAAA
This 1018-nucleotide ribosomal RNA is filed under the name Neomassariosphaeria sp. Its description in RNAcentral is "SSU rRNA". It matches the Rfam family "Eukaryotic small subunit ribosomal RNA", at positions 76 to 1102 of the family's 1831-position model. The record is from RNAcentral. Lineage: Eukaryota; Fungi; Ascomycota; Dothideomycetes; Pleosporales; Amniculicolaceae.